UACGGGGGGGUGCGAGCGUUGUCCGGAAUCACUGGGCGUAAAGGGCGCGUAGGUGGCCUGAUAAGGGUGUGGUGAAAGUCCGGGGGCUCAACCCCGGAUCUGCCGUGCCGACUGUUUGGGCUGGAGUACUGUAGGGGCAGGCGGAAUUUCCGGGUGUAGCGGUGGAAUGCGUAGAGAUCCGGAGGAAGACCGGUGGCGAAGGCGGCCUGCUGGGCAGUUUACUGACACUGAGGCGCGACAGCGUGGGGAGCAAACAGG
This 258-nucleotide ribosomal RNA is filed under the name uncultured bacterium. Its description in RNAcentral is "partial 16S ribosomal RNA". It matches the Rfam family "Bacterial small subunit ribosomal RNA", at positions 524 to 776 of the family's 1533-position model. The record is from RNAcentral.